Molecule: ribosomal RNA, 497 nt
Filed under: uncultured bacterium
Lineage: Bacteria
Description: partial 16S ribosomal RNA
Rfam family: Bacterial small subunit ribosomal RNA
Source: RNAcentral
GAUGAACGCUGGCGGCGUGCCUAAUACAUGCAAGUCGAGCGAACAGACGCGGAUCUUGCUCCUCUGACGUUAGCGGCGGACGGGUGAGGAACACGUGGUUAACCUACCUAUAAGACUGGGAUAACUUCGGGAAACCGGUGCUAAUACCGGAUAAUUUCUUGAACCGCAUGGUUCAAUAGUUAAAGACGGUUUUGCUGUCACUUAUAGAUGGAUCCGCGCCGCAUUGGCGAGUUGGUAAGGUAACGGCUUACGAGGGCAGCAGUGCGUAGCCGACCGGGGGGCGUGAAGCGGCACACUGGAACUGAGACACGGUACAGACACUGACGGGCGGCCGCAGUAGGGACUCGUCGGAGAUGGGGGAAAGCCUGACGGAGCAACGCCGGGCGAAUGAUGAAGGUCUUCGGAUGGGAAAACUCUGUUAUUAGGGAAGACCGAAUGUGUAAGUAACUAUGCACGUCUUGACGGUACCUGAUCAGAAAGCAACGGCUAACUACGUG